Molecule: ribosomal RNA, 200 nt
Filed under: uncultured bacterium
Lineage: Bacteria
Description: partial 16S ribosomal RNA
Rfam family: Bacterial small subunit ribosomal RNA
Source: RNAcentral
AACGAACGCUGGCGGCGUGGAUAAGACAUGCAUGUCGAACGGGAUAUUAUUUGUAGCAAUACAAAUGAUGUCUAGUGGCGUAAGGGUGCGUAACACGUGGGGAAUCUGCCGAGAAGUGGGGAUAGCUCGCCGAAAGGCGAAUUAAUACCGCAUGUGGUUAGUGAGGACAUCCUCACGACACCAAAGCCGGGGCAACCUGG